CUUCCGUAGGUGAACCUGCGGAGGGAUCAUUACUGAGUACUACACUCUCUACCCUUUGUGAACUAUUAUACCUGUUGCUUCGGCGGCGCCCGCAAGGGUGCCCGCCGGUCUCAUCAGAAUCUCUGUUUUCGAACCCGACGAUACUUCUGAGUGUUCUUAGCGAACUGUCAAAACUUUUAACAACGGAUCUCUUGGCUCCAGCAUCGAUGAAGAACGCAGCGAAACGCGAUAUGUAAUGUGAAUUGCAGAAUUCAGUGAAUCAUCGAAUCUUUGAACGCACAUGGCGCCUUCCAGUAUCCUGGGAGGCAUGCCUGUCCGAGCGUCGUUUCAACCCUCGAGCCCCUGUGGCCCGGCGUUGGGGAUCUGCCACGGCAGGCCCCUAAAACCAGUGGCGGACCCGAAGGCCCUCUCCUUUGCGCAGUAGCAUCAGCCUCGCAUUGGGAUCCCUCGGCGUCCUGCCUCUAAGCCCCCCACAAGUCCGCUUCGGCGGCACCAAGGUUGACCUCGGAUCAGGUAGGAAUACCCGCUGAACUUAAGCAUAUCAAUAAGCGGAG
Molecule: ribosomal RNA, 554 nt
Filed under: fungal sp. E15504D
Lineage: Eukaryota; Fungi
Description: eukaryotic LSU rRNA
Rfam family: 5.8S ribosomal RNA (bases 172-325)
Source: RNAcentral